UGCGGCGUAAAGCAGAGCAGCGGACUCAUAAUCCGUCGGCCGUGGGUUCGAGUCCCCCCGCCCCAC
This 66-nucleotide transfer RNA is filed under the name Streptomyces sp. OV198. RNAcentral describes it as "tRNA_Met_CAT". It matches the Rfam family "tRNA". From Rfam's summary of the family: Transfer RNA (tRNA) molecules are approximately 80 nucleotides in length. Their secondary structure includes four short double-helical elements and three loops (D, anti-codon, and T loops). The record is from RNAcentral. Lineage: Bacteria; Bacillati; Actinomycetota; Actinomycetes; Kitasatosporales; Streptomycetaceae.